This 519-nucleotide ribosomal RNA is filed under the name uncultured bacterium. RNAcentral describes it as "bacterial SSU rRNA". It matches the Rfam family "Bacterial small subunit ribosomal RNA", at positions 28 to 587 of the family's 1533-position model. The record is from RNAcentral.
AACGAACGCUGGCGGCAGGCCUAACACAUGCAAGUCGAAGGAGCAAGCCCUUUCGGGGGGUGGACACUGGCGCACGGGUGAGUAACGCGUGGGAAUCUACCCGGUCGGGGAGUAACCACUGGAAACGGUGGCUAAUACCGCAUACGCCGUAUUGGGAAAGCUUUAGCGCCCUGGGAUGAGCCCGCGUUAGAUUAGCUAGUUGGUGGGGUAACGGCCUACCAAGGCGACGAUCUAUAGCUGGUCUGAGAGGAUGAUCAGCCACACUGGGACUGAGACACGGCCCAGACUCCUACGGGAGGCAGCAGUGGGGAAUAUUGGACAAUGGGCGCAAGCCUGAUCCAGCCAUGCCGCGUGCGUGAAGAAGGCCUUAGGGUUGUAAAGCGCUUUCACUGGUGAAGAUGAUGACGGUAGCCAGAGAAGAAGCCCCGGCUAACUCCGUGCCAGCAGCCGCGGUAAUACGGAGGGGCAAGCGUUGUUCGGAAUUACUGGGCGUAAAGGGCGCGUAGGCGGAACAUUAAG